GGGGAAUUUUCCGCAAUGGGCGAAAGCCUGACGGAGCAAGACCGCGUGAGGGAAGAAGGCCCUUGGGUUGUAAACCUCUUUUCUCAAGGAAGAAGAAAGUGACGGUACUUGAGGAAUAAGCAUCGGCUAACUCCGUGCCAGCAGCCGCGGUAAGACGGAGGAUGCAAGCGUUAUCCGGAAUUAUUGGGCGUAAAGGGUCCGCAGGUGGUUUCUCAAGUCGGCAGUCAAAGACCGGAGCUUAACUUCGGAAAGGCUGUGGAAACUGAGAGACUAGAGAGAGGUAGGGGUAAGGGGAAUUCCCGGUGUAGCGGUGAAAUGCGUAGAGCUCGGGAAGAACACCGGUGGCGAAAGCGCCUUACUGGACCUCAUCUGACACUCAGGGACGAAAGCUAGGGGAGCGAAAGGGAUUAGAUACCCCUGUAGUC
This 425-nucleotide ribosomal RNA is filed under the name uncultured cyanobacterium. RNAcentral describes it as "bacterial SSU rRNA". It matches the Rfam family "Bacterial small subunit ribosomal RNA", at positions 356 to 795 of the family's 1533-position model. Lineage: Bacteria; Bacillati; Cyanobacteriota. The record is from RNAcentral.